Non-coding RNA from Frankia sp., 135 nucleotides. The record is from Rfam. Lineage: Bacteria; Bacillati; Actinomycetota; Actinomycetes; Frankiales; Frankiaceae.
UCGAUGGAGAGUUUGAUCCUGGCUCAGGACGAACGCUGGCGGCGUGCUUAACACAUGCAAGUCGAGCGGACCUUCGGGUCAGCGGCGAACGGGUGAGUAACACGUGGGCAACCUGCCCCAGGCUCUGGAAUAACU